GGACUACCCGGGUAUCUAAUCCCGUUCGCUCCCCACGCUUUCGUCCAUCAGCGUCAGUACAUACUUAGUGAGCUGCCUUCGCGAUCGGUGUUCUAUGUAAUAUCUAUGCAUUUCACCGCUACACUACAUAUUCCGCCCACUCCAAUAUGACUCAAGACCGCCAGUAUCAAGGGCAGUUCUACGGUUGAGCCGCAGACUUUCACCCCUGACUUAACGGCCCGCCUACGGACCCUUUAAACCCAAUGAUUCCGGAUAACGCUCGGACCCUCCGUAUUACCGCGGCUGCUGGCAC
RNAcentral lists this ribosomal RNA (292 nucleotides) under uncultured Bacteroidota bacterium. RNAcentral describes it as "uncultured Bacteroidetes bacterium partial 16S ribosomal RNA". Lineage: Bacteria; Pseudomonadati; Bacteroidota. The record is from RNAcentral.